CUCCAGCCUGGGCAACAAGAGCGAAACUCUGUCUCUAAAUAAAUAAAUAAGUAAAUAAACAAAUAAAUAAACAUUAAAAGUUCAGUAGAUACUUCUUGGGAAACUUUAUGUGUCUGUAGUAGAGUUAAAAGGUUUUACAGAAGAUAAAUGUUAAAAAAUUAUUUAUUUGGAGUGAAUCUUUGGUGAGUUUUUAUAAUUUUAAUUGCAUCAAACACUGAAUGCUGUGAGAGUCAAUAAAAACUUAGAAGAAAAUCAGGCUCUUUAAAAAAACCAUAAAUUUAUUGCAAAUCUAGAAGUACCAGAAUGUCACGAAUACAGAACAAAUCAGCAAUCUUGUUUGUAUUUUCUUCCAAACAUUUAAAACCUUGAUUAUUGACAUAUUGAAAUUGGCAUACAUUUUGUUUUCAUGCAGAUAACAGAACAGACAUGGAGCAGAUCCCUCAGAAAUCAGUUAUAAAUAUUAAAUUGUAUUGAACAUUCAUAGUAAAAAAUAUGUUGUAAAGUGCUGAAGUCAUGUUAAGUCUGCAAAACUGCCACAAGCUCAAAGUUCUUCUCAAGCAGUGACAGAGAUUUGCUACAUCCACCUUGCUUUAGGUAUGUCUGUUUUUGACAGACACUUUGUCAUUUCCUCCCCCACCCUCCCCAGAGUUUUAUAGAUUGUCCUAUUUCUAUGGCUGAUAAGAUGCUCUACAGAUUGUAGCAGGUAGUGAUGAACUAUGCCACUUUCAUUUCAGUGCAGAGAAAUAUUCAAGCUUGUGUGUACCUGUAACCAAACUAGGCUUGUUACGGUUUUCCCCCCGAGUUGUCAUAAAUUGACAUUAACGAUGAAUAAAGAUGGAGCAGCAAGCAUUGACCAUCACCUGCAGGGUGAGAUUGCGGUAAAAUAGUUCCUGACAGCAAAGCCUGUGAUCAAUUCAGAUUUACAGCCCUACUUUACAGCACAUAGAAGGUGUGACAAUUUAUAGAAUUCCAUGCAGAAACAUCUCUCUAAUUACUCCAUCUUGGUACUUAGAAAUGUGUUUCAUGGGGAAAUGCCGGAAGCUUGUUUUUUAAAUACAGGAACGUUUCUGAACAUAUGACUUCAACUUUGUUUAGUACAAAAACUCGAACAUUGAAAAUCUAGAAAGUUGAAUUUACAAGGCAUUUUAUCUUUUCUCUGCGGGUAACCUUAUUAUUGUAUCUUGUCUGUGAUAAUCAGUGAUAGUACAAUUUCAGAAACCGGCUAUAAAAGCACAAUACCGUAAUUAUUAAAAUGUCAUCACCCUUUCAAUAGAUAUCAUACUUGAUUUCCUAGAAUGUUGAUUUGAUUCGUGUGAUUAAAAAUUUCAAAUUUUUACAACCUACUUUAUCAUGUCCAGACUUACCUUAGUAACCCAAUCAAAUUCCUAUUGUAUAGGUUUAAAAGCAAUUUUACAAAUGGCUUGUAAUAAAUGAAUGUUUCCUGAUUCAAGAUAAAAAUUUGGAAAUGAUUAAUCCAUUUUGAACUCAGAUUAUACCACAGAUCAGAGGAAUUUUCCAUCAAGCUUAAAAGCAAAUUUAAAAAUAAUCUGAGAUAGUGAAUUAAAUUA
This is a long non-coding RNA of Cercocebus atys (sooty mangabey), 1568 nucleotides long. RefSeq lists it as uncharacterized. NCBI's taxonomy places the organism in Eukaryota, Metazoa, Chordata, Mammalia, Primates, Cercopithecidae. The record is from RefSeq and is a predicted model, not a curated record. The transcript has 3 exons.